GGGGCUUAGGCUCCGGCGCACAGAGAGGCCCAAGUGAGAUUAGCUAGUUGGUAAGGUAAAGGCUUACCAAGGCAACGAUCUCUAGCUGUUCUGAGAGGAAGAUCAGCCACACUGGAACUGAGACACGGUCCAGACUCCUACGGGAGGCAGCAGUGGGGAAUAUUGCACAAUGGGGGAAACCCUGAUGCAGCCAUGCCGCGUGUGUGAAGAAGGCCUUCGGGUUGUAAAGCACUCUCAGUUGUGAGGAAAAGUUAGUAGUUAAUACCUGCUAGCCGUGACGUUAACAACAGAAGAAGCACCGGCUAACUCCGUGCCAGCAGCCGCGGUAAUACGGAGGGUGCGAGCGUUAAUCAGAAUUACUGGGCGUAAAGCGCACGCAGGCGGUUUGUUAAGCUAGAUGUGAAAGCCCCGGGCUCAACCUGGGAUAGUCAUUUAGAACUGGCAGACUAGAGUCUUGGAGAGGGGAGUGGAAUUCCAGGUGUAGCGGUGAAAUGCGUAGAUAUCUGNGAGGAACAUCANGUGGCGAAGGCGACUCCCUGGCCAAAGACUGACGCUCAUGUGCGAAAGUGUGGGUAGCGAACAGGAUUAGAUACCCUGGUAGUCCACACCGUAAACGCUGUCUANUANGCNGUUUGUGACUUUAAGUCGUGAGUAGCGAAGCUAACGCGCUAAGUAGACCGCCUGGGGAGUACGGCCGCAAGCUUANAAACUCAAAUGAAUUGACGGGGGCCCGCACAAGCGGUGGAGCAUGUGGUUUAAUUCGAUGCAACGCGAAGAACCUUACCUACACUUGACAUGCUGAGAACUUUCUAGAGAUAGAUUGGUGCCUUCGGGAACUCAGACACAGGUGCUGCAUGGCUGUCGUCAGCUCGUGUCGUGAGAUGUUGGGUUAAGUCCCGCAACGAGCGCAACCCUUGUCCUUAGUUGCCAGCCUUAAGUUGGGCACUCUAAGGAGACUGCCGGUGACAAACCGGAGGAAGGUGGGGACGACGUCAAGUCAUCAUGGCCCUUACGUGUAGGGCUACACGCGUGCUACAAUGGCAUUUACAGAGGGAAGCGAGACAGUGAUGUGGAGCGGACCCCUUAAAGAAUGUCGUAGUCCGGAUUGGAGUCUGCAACUCGACUCCGUGAAGUCGGAAUCGCUAGUAAUCGCAGGUCAGAAUACUGCGGUGAAUACGUUCCCGG
This 1185-nucleotide ribosomal RNA is filed under the name uncultured Alteromonas sp. RNAcentral describes it as "bacterial SSU rRNA". It matches the Rfam family "Bacterial small subunit ribosomal RNA", at positions 207 to 1377 of the family's 1533-position model. The record is from RNAcentral. Lineage: Bacteria; Pseudomonadati; Pseudomonadota; Gammaproteobacteria; Alteromonadales; Alteromonadaceae.